UCCCCAGUGGCUCAGUUGGUGAAGAAUCUGCCUGUAAUGCAGGAGACCUGGGUUUGAUCCCUAGGUAGGGAA
Molecule: transfer RNA, 72 nt
Filed under: Bos taurus (domestic cattle)
Lineage: Eukaryota; Metazoa; Chordata; Mammalia; Artiodactyla; Bovidae
Rfam family: tRNA
About the family: Transfer RNA (tRNA) molecules are approximately 80 nucleotides in length. Their secondary structure includes four short double-helical elements and three loops (D, anti-codon, and T loops). Further hydrogen bonds mediate the characteristic L-shaped molecular structure. tRNAs have two regions of fundamental functional importance: the anti-codon, which is responsible for specific mRNA codon recognition, and the 3' end, to which the tRNAs corresponding amino acid is attached (by aminoacyl-tRNA synthetases). tRNAs cope with the degeneracy of the genetic code in two manners: having more than one tRNA (with a specific anti-codon) for a particular amino acid; and 'wobble' base-pairing, i.e. permitting non-standard base-pairing at the 3rd anti-codon position.
Source: Rfam by way of RNAcentral